Molecule: transfer RNA, 67 nt
Filed under: bovine gut metagenome
Rfam family: tRNA
About the family: Transfer RNA (tRNA) molecules are approximately 80 nucleotides in length.
Source: RNAcentral
UGGUGUAGCUCAGUUGGUAGAGCAGCUGAUUUGUAAUCAGCAGGUCGGGAGUUCAAGUCUGUCCACC